This 68-nucleotide transfer RNA is filed under the name Strophopteryx fasciata. RNAcentral's name for it is "tRNA-Asn". The record is from RNAcentral. Lineage: Eukaryota; Metazoa; Arthropoda; Insecta; Plecoptera; Taeniopterygidae.
UUAAUUGAAGCCAAAAAGAGGCGUAUCACUGUUAAUGAUAUAAUUGAGAUACCAUCACUCCAAUUAAG